Molecule: ribosomal RNA, 142 nt
Filed under: uncultured eukaryote
Lineage: Eukaryota
Description: partial 18S ribosomal RNA
Rfam family: Eukaryotic small subunit ribosomal RNA
Source: RNAcentral
UGGUGGAGUGAUUUGUCUGGUUAAUUCCGUUAACGAGCGAGACCGUCGCAUGUUAUAUAGGGGGGGGUGGUAUAAAAUCCAUUCGACUCCCUUCAUAAAUGGACUCUCUGCAAAAAGCAGAGGGAAGUUGGCGGCAAUAACA